UUGAAAGGGAAACGAUUGAAGUCAGUCGUACCAGCGGGAAUCAACCUUUCGAGUGGGGUUUUGGAGUUUUGAAGUGUGUCAAAACCUUUGAGAUUUUAAAAUUUUCGCUCUUUUGGUGUACUUUCUCGUGGGUAGGUUAACAUCGAUUUUGAUCAUCAUAAAAAGACUGGAGGAAUGUAGCUUCGAUCUUGUAUUGAAGUGUUAUAGCCUUUGGUAAAUGUGAUGAUUAGGAUCGAGGAUUGCAACGAAUACCCUUCUGGGCUAUCCGCCUGAUCUCUGAUACGUGGCCUUGGCAUCGAAAGCUUGCUUAUGGUAUCAAGGUAUUACGGUCAAAAGGUUAGAACGGAUUACAUUCGUUAAGGAUGUUGACGUA
This 373-nucleotide ribosomal RNA is filed under the name uncultured Glomeromycotina. RNAcentral describes it as "LSU rRNA". The record is from RNAcentral. Lineage: Eukaryota; Fungi; Glomeromycota.